This 298-nucleotide ribosomal RNA is filed under the name uncultured Candidatus Sumerlaeota bacterium. RNAcentral describes it as "partial 16S ribosomal RNA". It matches the Rfam family "Bacterial small subunit ribosomal RNA", at positions 1085 to 1382 of the family's 1533-position model. Lineage: Bacteria; Candidatus Sumerlaeota. The record is from RNAcentral.
UCCCGCAACGAGCGCCAACCCCUAUCUUUAGUUGCCAUCAGGUUCGGCUGGGCACUCUAUGGAGACUGCCACCUAAAGUGGAGGAAGGUGGGGAUGACGUCAAGUCAGCAUGGCCCUUACGUCCGGGGCUACACACGUGCUACAAUGGCCGGUACAAAGGGUUGCGAAGCCGUGAGGUGGAGCGAAUCUCAAAAAGCCGGCCUCAGUUCGGAUUGGAGGCUGCAACUCGCCUCCAUGAAGUCGGAAUCGCUAGUAACCGCAGAUCAGCUACGUUGCGGUGAAUACGUUCCCGGGCCUU